CAGAAAUUCUGAGAGGAUUGCAAAAGGAAAAGCAGGACCCGGGUGAUGGGGCUGUGACAAAGGAGGAAUUUCAGGAGGAGAAAACAGUGGCUCAGAGAUUCAAGCUUAAUAUCCUGCUUUUCAUAAAGUCAAAAUAGCACCAAAACAGAACUCAAAGAACACUGGACUGAACUC
Herpailurus yagouaroundi (jaguarundi) is the source of this 174-nucleotide long non-coding RNA. RefSeq lists it as uncharacterized. The record is from RefSeq and is a predicted model, not a curated record. The transcript is spliced from 2 exons. NCBI's taxonomy places the organism in Eukaryota, Metazoa, Chordata, Mammalia, Carnivora, Felidae.